RNAcentral lists this long non-coding RNA (293 nucleotides) under Ananas comosus (pineapple). RNAcentral describes it as "long non-coding RNA (ACOM_LNC019768)". The record is from RNAcentral. Lineage: Eukaryota; Viridiplantae; Streptophyta; Magnoliopsida; Poales; Bromeliaceae.
AUCUAACCCACUAACAUGACUCGCUAACACACAAACCCCACUCACCAGAACCACGAGAACCGGUUUCCCAAAACCGAUUACCGAACAAGCCGGAAGUCUCGAAAAUCGCACCGGAACUCCACCGUCGCUCACCCGUCGUUUUUGAACCCUCGAAACGACGCGGGUGACCAGCCAACAAGGCUCAGCGACGACGCAAAUAAUCACCAAGUACCGUCGGAAGAAUUCCGAACCAAAACCCGCGUUUCGUCGGCGGAUUUCGCCGAGAAACGCAUCGGAAAUCACUUUACGGUCUC